CCUACGGGUGGCAGCAGUGGGGAAUAUUGGGCAAUGGAGGAAACUCUGACCCAGCAACGCCGCGUGAAUGAUGAAGGUCUUCGGAUUGUAAAGUUCUUUUCUAAGGGAAGAAGAAAGUGACGGGACCGUAGGAAUAAGCCUCGGCUAACUACGGGCCAGCAGCCGCGGUAAUACGUAGGAGGCGAGCGUUAGCCGGAAUGACGGGGCGUAAAGGGUGCGUAGGUGGUUUUGCAAGUUAGUAGCGUAACUCCACGGCUCAACCUUGGAACUCCUACGAAAACUGUUGGACUUGAGUGCAGGAUGGGCAACCGGCAUUCCUUGUGUCGCGGUGUCAUGCUUAGAUAUU
This 346-nucleotide ribosomal RNA is filed under the name uncultured bacterium. RNAcentral's name for it is "partial 16S ribosomal RNA". It matches the Rfam family "Bacterial small subunit ribosomal RNA", at positions 338 to 698 of the family's 1533-position model. The record is from RNAcentral.